UCAAUCCCCACUUGCACAGCCCCUACAACCACAAUGAACACACUCAACAACCUUUUCUUCCCUUAGAUGCUUGGGGACCCUGCAAACACAAGUUGUGCCAAAGUUGUGAUCCCUUGGCUGAAUGCAGCGUAGGCAGCAGAGUCGUUCAUAUCCUGGCUUUUUCCAUUUUGCAAUCAGGUUACGAUCGCCAUAACCUUGUUCCAAGCAGAACUCGUAAAGCUCUUUAGAAAUUUCAUUCGUUUUAUAAUAAAUGUCAAAAAUGUAGCGGCUCCUUUGAUGGGUAAUUCUGAAAAUAGGCCAGAGAGUUUCACAUUUUCUCUUGCCAUCAUGAGGAUCAUUUUCAGCUUCCCUCAUCUUGGCAUCUAGCUCGCGAAGAGUAGGCUCGAUCAACUCCCACCCAUCUGGAUAUUUGAUCCGGUUGGUCUUCACUUUGGGCAUUUCUGCAACAGAAGCUGGAUUUCCUUCGCUAGACUGUAGAAGCGAGG
RNAcentral lists this unclassified non-coding RNA (485 nucleotides) under Hevea brasiliensis (rubber tree). The record is from RNAcentral. Lineage: Eukaryota; Viridiplantae; Streptophyta; Magnoliopsida; Malpighiales; Euphorbiaceae.